UACGGAGGGUGCAAGCGUUGUCCGGAAUCACUGGGCGUAAAGGGUGCGUAGGCGGGUUUUUAAGUCAGAGGUGAAAUCCUGGAGCUCAACUCCAGAACUGCCUUUGAUACUGAAAGUCUUGAGUAUGGGAGAGGUGAGUGGAACUGCGAGUGUAGAGGUGAAAUUCGUAGAUAUUCGCAAGAACACCAGUGGCGAAGGCGGCUCACUGGCCCAUAACUGACGCUGAGGCACGAAAGCGUGGGGAGCAAACAGG
This 253-nucleotide ribosomal RNA is filed under the name uncultured bacterium. Its description in RNAcentral is "partial 16S ribosomal RNA". It matches the Rfam family "Bacterial small subunit ribosomal RNA", at positions 524 to 776 of the family's 1533-position model. The record is from RNAcentral.